GACGAACGCUGGCGGCGUGCUUAACACAUGCAAGUCGAGCGAGAAAGCUCCUUCGGGAGUGAGUACAGCGGCGAACGGGUGAGUAACACGUGGGCAACCUGCCCUAGGGAGCGGGACAACCCGAGGAAACUCGGGCUAAUACCGCAUGAUUCGUCAUGUCUCAAGGCAUGACGGGAAAUGGUAGCUUCGGCCUCCGCCCUAGGAUGGGCCCGCGGCGCAUUAGCUUGUUGGNGUGGGUAACGGCUCACCAAGGCGACGAUGCGUAGCUGGUCUGAGAGGACGAUCAGCCACACUGGGACUGAGACACGGCCCAGACUCCUACGGGAGGCAGCAGUGGGGAAUCUUGCGCAAUGGGCGGAAGCCUGACGCAGCAACGCCGCGUGAGGGAAG
RNAcentral lists this ribosomal RNA (390 nucleotides) under uncultured bacterium. Its description in RNAcentral is "bacterial SSU rRNA". It matches the Rfam family "Bacterial small subunit ribosomal RNA", at positions 28 to 410 of the family's 1533-position model. The record is from RNAcentral.